UUUUUAUGGAGAGUUUGAUCCUGGCUCAGGACGAACGCUGGCGGCGUGCCUAAUACAUGCAAGUCGAGCGAACAGAGAAGGAGCUUGCUCCUU
RNAcentral lists this ribosomal RNA (93 nucleotides) under Lysinibacillus xylanilyticus. RNAcentral's name for it is "partial 16S ribosomal RNA". It matches the Rfam family "Bacterial small subunit ribosomal RNA", at positions 1 to 88 of the family's 1533-position model. Lineage: Bacteria; Bacillati; Bacillota; Bacilli; Caryophanales; Bacillaceae. The record is from RNAcentral.